AUGAUUCUGUGGGGUCUUCUCCUCUGCCUGGUGACAGCACCCCUGGGUGUCCUGUCCCAGGUGCAGCUGCAGGAGUCGGGCCCAGGACUAGUGGCCCCCUCCGGGACCCUCUCCCUCACCUGCUCUGUCUCUGGUUACUCCAUCUCCUCUGGUUACUGCUGGGCAUGGAUCCGCCAGACCCCAGGGAAGGGCCUGCUCUGGUUGGGGUAUAUAUGUGCUAGUGGAAACACUAACUACAGCCCAUCCUUCAAGGGCCGCGUCUCCAUCACCAGAGACACGAACAAGAACCAGUUCUUCCUGCAGCUGAGUUCAGUGACCCCCGAGGACACAGCUGUGUAUUACUGUGCUAGAGACACAGAUAGAGCCUAUGGCAAUGGUGCCGUGGCCGCAGAGACCCAGGUUGAGCAUUUCUAA
This is a non-coding RNA of Sorex araneus (European shrew), 414 nucleotides long. NCBI's taxonomy places the organism in Eukaryota, Metazoa, Chordata, Mammalia, Eulipotyphla, Soricidae. The record is from the annotation of a RefSeq genome assembly.